This 1382-nucleotide ribosomal RNA is filed under the name Oxyops sp. NLG-2014. Its description in RNAcentral is "partial 16S ribosomal RNA". The record is from RNAcentral. Lineage: Eukaryota; Metazoa; Arthropoda; Insecta; Coleoptera; Curculionidae.
UUCUCGAAAAUUAAAAAAGUUGGCGGUAUUUUAGUCUCUUCUGAGGAACUUGUCCUAUAAUUGAUGGUCCACGAUUUAUAUUACUUAUUUUAUAUUAGUUUGCAUAUCGCCGUAGGUUGAAUAUUUUUGAAAAAAUUGAAUGUUCAAGAUUUAUUUUAUAUAAAAAAUCAGGUCAAGAUGUAGCUUAUAAAUAAGAAGAGAUGAGUUACAAUAAAUUUAUUUAAACGAAUUAAUAAAUGAAAUUUUGUUAUGAAGGUGGAUUUGAGGGUAAUUUUAUUUAAAUUUAUAAAAUGAUUUUAGCUCUAAAAUAUGUACAUAUCGCCCGUCGCUUUCGCUUUAAAGUGGAAUAAGUCGUAACAAAGUAGGCGUACUGGAAAGUGUGCCUAGAAAGGUCAAAUUAGAGCUUGAUUAAAGCAUUUUAGUUACAUUAAAAAGUUUAUUGUAGAUUCAAUAUAAUUUGAGUGGAUUUAUUUAUUAAAUUUUAUUAAGUUUUUUUUUUUUAAAAAAAAAAUAUUUAUUUUUAUUAAUAUUUAUGAAAAAAUAUAUUUAAUUAUAGAUUAUUAGUAUUGUAAUAGAAUAUAAUUUUUAUUUUAAAAAAGAAUAAUUUAUUUUUUGUCCCUUGUGUAUCAGGGUUUAUUAAAUAAAGGUUAGAAUUUUAAUUUUCUCGAAUAAUAAAGGCUUUUUUAUAUCUUUAUCUCUGUAGAAUAGAAAAUUAUUAAUAUAAAAAUAGACAUGAAGCAUUAUUCGGUUAUUAAUAUAUCUAGUUUUUUAAGAAAAAAAUUUAAUUUUAUUUUUAUAUAAGUAUUUUAUUAAAUAAUUAAUUUUAUAUUAGUAAUUUUUUAUAUUUUAAGGGAUGAGCUUUAAAAUAAAAUUUUUUAAAUUAUGUAAUUGGUAUUAAUUAAGUAGGAUUAUAAGUUUUUAUCUUUAAAAUUGUGUUGUAACUAUUUUAAUUUAAAAUAUUAUUUAUAUUUAUUUAAAAUUUUAUAUUGAAAUUUAUAUUUAAAUUAAAAAAAUUUAGAAAUAAUGAUAAAAUUAGUAUAAAAUAUUGUAUAUUUAAAUUUAUUUAUAAGGUUAAAUAAAGGAAUUCGGCAAAUAUAUUUUUCACCUGUUUAUUAAAAACAUGGCUUUUUGAUAAUAAUUUAAGGUCUAACCUGCCCAAUGAAUAAAAUUUUAAAUGGCCGCGGUAUUUUGACCGUGCAAAGGUAGCAUAAUCAUUAGUUUUUUAAUUGAAAGCUGGAAUGAAAGGUUGAAUGAGAAAAUAGCUGUCUCUAUUUAAGUUUUUUAAAAAUUUAUUUUUAAGUAAAAAAGCUUAAAUUUAUUUAGAAGACGAGAAGACCCUAUAGAGUUUUAUUUAUUUUUAUUUUAAAGUUUUUAGUAUUUAU